This 459-nucleotide ribosomal RNA is filed under the name uncultured bacterium. RNAcentral's name for it is "partial 16S ribosomal RNA". It matches the Rfam family "Bacterial small subunit ribosomal RNA", at positions 338 to 795 of the family's 1533-position model. The record is from RNAcentral.
CCUACGGGAGGCAGCAGUGAGGAAUAUUUGUCAAUGGGCGGAAGCCUGAACCAGCCAAGUAGCGUGCGGGAUGAAGGCCCUACGGGUCGUAAACCGCUUUUGCACGGGGAUAACACCCUCCACUUGUGGAGGUCUGCAGGUACCGUGCGAAUAAGGGCCGGCAAAUGCCGUGCCAGCAGCCGCGGGAAUACGGAAGGCCCGAGAGUUAUCCGGAUUCAUUGGGCGUAAAGGGAGCGUAGGCGGGCGUUCAAGUCAGCGGUAAAAUCGCGCGGCUCAACCGCGCCCCGCAGUUGAAACUGGACGCCUUGAGUUCACAACAGGCAGGCGGAAUUCGUGGUGUAGCGGUGAAAUGCAUAGAUAUCACGAGGAACCCCGAUGGCGAAGGCAGCCUGCCGGGGUGCGACUGACGCUGAGGCUCGAAGGUGCGGGUAGCAAACAGGAUUAGAUACCCCAGUAGUC